CCGAGCUUACAACUCCCAAACCCCAGUGUGAACCGUACCCAAACCGUUGCCUCGGCGGGCGCCCCGCGCGGCCGCCGGAGGACCCAACCGAAACUCUCUCUCUCCCCCCCCAUCAGUCUCUCUGAGCAAAGCCUUCGGGCCUCCCCCCAGCGGGCGGCCUGGAAAACGAAUCA
RNAcentral lists this unclassified non-coding RNA (173 nucleotides) under uncultured Sordariomycetes. RNAcentral describes it as "sequence contains ITS1". The record is from RNAcentral. Lineage: Eukaryota; Fungi; Ascomycota; Sordariomycetes.